AGAGGGAAAAGGAGCAAUCCGCUUUGAGAUGGCCUCGCGUCCGAUUAGCUAGUUGGUGAGGUAACGGCCCACCAAGGCGACGAUCGGUAGCCGGACUGAAAGGUUGAACGGCCACAUUGGGACUGAGACACGGCCCAGACUCCUACGGGAGGCAGCAGUGGGGAAUAUUGCACAAUGGGGGAAACCCUGAUGCAGCGACGCCGCGUGGAGGAAGAAGGUCUUCGGAUUGUAAACUCCUGUUGUUGGGGAAGAUAAUGACGGUACCCAACAAGGAAGUGACGGCUAACUACGUGCCAGCAGCCGCGGUAAAACGUAGGUCACAAGCGUUGUCCGGAAUUACUGGGUGUAAAGGGAGCGCAGGCGGGAAGACAAGUUGGAAGUGAAAUCUAUGGGCUCAACCCAUAAACUGCUUUCAAAACUGUUUUUCUUGAGUAGUGCAGAGGUAGGCGGAAUUCCCGGUGUAGCGGUGGAAUGCGUAGAUAUCGGGCGGAACACCAGUGGCGAAGGCGGCCUACUGGGCACCAACUGACGCUGAGGCUCGAAAGUGUGGGUAGCAAACAGGAUUAGAUACCCUGGUAGUCCACACCG
This 588-nucleotide ribosomal RNA is filed under the name uncultured bacterium. RNAcentral describes it as "bacterial SSU rRNA". It matches the Rfam family "Bacterial small subunit ribosomal RNA", at positions 196 to 802 of the family's 1533-position model. The record is from RNAcentral.